Ribosomal RNA from Ursus americanus (American black bear), 126 nucleotides. Lineage: Eukaryota; Metazoa; Chordata; Mammalia; Carnivora; Ursidae. The record is from Ensembl.
UCAGAGAGUGUUACAGACCUCCUCCCUCAAACUGUGAUCUUGUCAGAUCUCAUAAGCCAAACAAGGUUGGGGCUGGGUGUGUACUUAGAUAAGAGGACUAUUGAGGAAAAACGAGCGUUUUCUGUU